Molecule: long non-coding RNA, 1604 nt
Organism: Lycium ferocissimum
Lineage: Eukaryota; Viridiplantae; Streptophyta; Magnoliopsida; Solanales; Solanaceae
Exons: 4
Source: RefSeq, a predicted model, not a curated record
ACUUAUUGCAAUUAAAUUCUCAAUGUUCACACAUUCCUUUCAAAUUCCUUCAUUAUGAAGGAAACGUCUUGACAAGUUACCAGACUUAUAAAUAUACCACAAAUAGAAAUAUGCACUAUGUGAAUCAAAUUUCCUCACGUAGAUAAGCCUUUCAAAAAUCUUUCCUCCAAGAUACUAUUUUUUUAUUCACAUCGCCACCAAGAAGGAGGCAGGUAAUUCAUCUGUCUCUAAUGAAGUUUCGUGAUUAAACAAAGUUUGAACCGGGUCAUUCUUUCCACUAUUCACACUACACCCCCAAAUAAAUACAUUCAAAUAAAUACCAAAACAUCCCAAAAACCACUCAAUUUGUUACGCAACACAAGCCAGGAUCGAACCCACCAACUCCUCCACUAUCCAAAUCACUUUCAACAAUUAUCACUCAUUUGUAUCUUUGCUGCUUCUUCCAUGUCCCACAUACAGCCCCUGCUCAUUCUUUUUCUAUAUAUCUUCUGCUCUGGCUUUUUUUUUUUUUUUUUUUGUUUUUUUUUUUUUUUUGAUUGAUUUGGGGAUAAAUAUUAAUUACACUAAUGUUCUUGCAUGUUUUGGGUAAUAGUAGAUAGCUCUCAGUUGAUUUUUUUUUUUUUGGGUUGCUGAGUAGAAUUGGCACAAUUUGAUUUUUCUGAGAAAGACUUAUGAAUUCAAGUUUUUCUUUCUCAAAGAUUCAUUGUGCAAUUUGUGGUUGUAACUAGUUAGAUUUAAUGUCUCUCAUUUCAUUUAGUCGGAAUAUAAUGGCUGCUCAAUUUUGAUUGACAGAUGUUGAAAAAAGUCCACCACUUUAACUAUAAAGAGCUGCAGUUGUCGUUGCCAGAACUAAAAAGAUGUGUAUGCUAGGGCUUAAAGAAGAUUUUUGUGAAGACUUUGAAAGGCACCCACUUUGAGAUCAAAGUGAAACCCGACGAUAGCACCCGAAGUUAAGCUCAGAAACUCAAUCAUCUUCUCCUUCAUGUUGUGAUUUUUGGAAUGGAAAAGGUUGCUACUACCCCUCUAUUGGAACAUGCCCUUUCUUAUUGUCUCAUCCUGGCGGUGUUGGGACACUUCACUGCAGAUUAUGUUCGGUGCACCAAGCAAGAAUGAAUGAAUUCCAAGCAAUAUUAGUGAAGUUUGGAAGCAUUGUGCAACAGAACGAAGCGGCAAGAGGAUCGUGAGCAGACUUGGGCAGAUCACUGCACGUCCAUGCGCGAUGGGCGUGCGUCGCAUGGGUCGCUCUCUCUCUCUGAUUUUUUUUUUUUUUUCUUGAGCGAGCGAUGACCAGGUGACGAGUAAGGCACACAUAUUCCUGAAGAUUUGCCUUGCGCGAUUUAUGUGCGAUGCGCAAGUGACGCACGUCACGUCUCGGUUUUCCUAUUUCGCAUAGGAUUUGGUCUAAUUAUUUCAGACUUAACCCUAGACUAUAAAUAUAAGCUUUUAACGUGUGAAUGACUGCUGGGACAUUUUUGACGACGGGAAACUAACGUUCUUGGCUUGUGGAGAUUCUUACCAUUGGUUUAUCUCUUUUCUUAGUUUCUUUUCAUUAAACCCAUGUUUCAUAACGCUAUUCAUAUUGUUUUGUAUGAACAUGAGUGGCU